RNAcentral lists this ribosomal RNA (253 nucleotides) under uncultured bacterium. Its description in RNAcentral is "partial 16S ribosomal RNA". It matches the Rfam family "Bacterial small subunit ribosomal RNA", at positions 524 to 776 of the family's 1533-position model. The record is from RNAcentral.
AACGUAGGAGACAAACGUUAUCCGGAGUUACUGGGCGUAAAGGGCGUGUAGGUGGUAGUGUAAGUCUGGCGUGAAAUUUUUCGGCUUAACCGGGAAAGGUCGUCGGAUACUGCACAACUAGAGGACGGUAGAGGCGUGUGGAAUUCCCGGUGUAGCGGUGAAAUGCGCAGAUAUCGGGAGGAACACCGGUGGCGAAGGCGGUUCUCUGGGCCUGACCUGACGCUGAGGAGCGAAAGCGUGGGGAGCGAACAGG